CAUCCGCAUGCAAGAGGUUUGCAUGUUCCAAUCUCAAGACUGCAAGAGUCUUUACACAGAGCUCAUGGAGAAGGAGUCUACAUGAGACGUCUAAGGCUGCGUGUAUUAAGAUGACGGCAGUAUUCUGUUCCAGUCCCAAACUCUUUGUGGCAUAUAGAUGACAACCAUAAGCUAAUCAGGUGGAGAUUUGUUGUCCUUGAUGGGGUGGAUGGAUUCAGUCAGUUAGUUGUCUACCUGACUGUGGCUGGCAAUAAUAGAGCUUGUAUGGUCUUACAGAGCUUUAUCGUUGCUGUUGAGCAGUAUGGGCUCUGAUAAAGUGGGGGAGAAUGCAGACGUAGCAGAAUUCAUGAUCAGGAGCAGAGGUACUGACAGGAACUCGCACAUCACAGGCAGAAGUGUCUACAAUCAGCGAAUAGAGAGGAUGUGGAGAGAUGUUUAUGAACAUGCCCUGGACCUCUUCUAUCAGACUUUUACUUCAUUGGAAGAUCAGGCUACACUGAAC
This is a long non-coding RNA of Toxotes jaculatrix (banded archerfish), 502 nucleotides long. RefSeq lists it as uncharacterized. The record is from RefSeq and is a predicted model, not a curated record. NCBI's taxonomy places the organism in Eukaryota, Metazoa, Chordata, Actinopteri, Toxotidae. The transcript is spliced from 4 exons.